Pelobates cultripes (western spadefoot toad) is the source of this 216-nucleotide non-coding RNA. The record is from the annotation of a GenBank genome assembly. Lineage: Eukaryota; Metazoa; Chordata; Amphibia; Anura; Pelobatidae.
GCACCGUGCUGACAGCCUGCAGAGGAGAGAGAGAGAGGACCCGGGAGCUCUUACCUGCAGCUCCUCCGGGUCCUCCUCUCGUGAGCAUGGAGCAACCGCGGCAACGCUCCAAAUCUCGCGAGAGUGAACUCUAGCCCACUGGGCCACCAGGGAAUCCCCAACGGACCACCAGGGAUCGAAAUAUGUCCCCCCUCCUCCCAGUAAAGGUAAGAAUGG